Molecule: ribosomal RNA, 253 nt
Filed under: uncultured bacterium
Lineage: Bacteria
Description: partial 16S ribosomal RNA
Rfam family: Bacterial small subunit ribosomal RNA
Source: RNAcentral
UACAGAGGGUGCAAGCGUUAAUCGGAAUUACUGGGCGUAAAGCGUGCGUAGGUGGUGAGAAAAGUUAGGUGUGAAAGUCCUGGGCUUAACCUGGGGAUUGCGCCUAAAACUGUUUUGCUAGAGUACUGUAGAGGAAGGUGGAAUUUCCGGUGUAGCGGUGAAAUGCGUAGAUAUCGGAAGGAACAUCGGUGGCGAAGGCGGCCUUCUGGACAGAUACUGACACUGAGGCACGAAAGCGUGGGGAGCAAACAGG